CCUANGGGGGGCUGCAGUGAGGAAUCUUGCGCAAUGGACGAAAGUCUGACGCAGCGACGCCGCGUGGAGGAUGAAGGUCUUCGGAUCGUAAACUCCUGUUAAGUGGGAAGAAAUACCAGCUUGUCUGGGGAUGACGGUACCACUAGAGAAAGCACCGGCUAACUUCGUGCCAGCAGCCGCGGUAAUACGAGGGGUGCAAACGUUAUUCGGAAUAAUUGGGCGUAAAGGGUGCGUAGACGGCGCGUUUAGCUUACUGUUAAAGAUCCCAGCUUAACUGGGAAAGUGCAGUGAGAACUGGCGUGCUAGAGGGCGGAAGAGAGAAGUGGAAUUCCCGGAGUAGCGGUAAAAUGCGUAGAUCUCGGGAGGAACAUCGAUUGCGUAGGCAGCUUCUUGGUCCGUUUCUGACGUUGAGGCACGAAAGCGUGGGGAGCAAACAGGAUUAGAUACCCCGNUANUC
Molecule: ribosomal RNA, 457 nt
Filed under: uncultured bacterium
Lineage: Bacteria
Description: bacterial SSU rRNA
Rfam family: Bacterial small subunit ribosomal RNA
Source: RNAcentral